This 148-nucleotide non-coding RNA is filed under the name Homo sapiens (human). Lineage: Eukaryota; Metazoa; Chordata; Mammalia; Primates; Hominidae. The record is from Rfam by way of RNAcentral.
GCUGGGCAUGGUGGCGUGUGCCUGUAAUUCCAGCUACUUGAGAGGCUGAGGCAGGAGAAUCGCUUGAACCCAGGAGGCAGAGGUUGCAGUGAGCUGAGAUCAUGCCUCUGCACUCUGGCCUGGGUGACACAGUGAGACUCUGUCUCAG